RNAcentral lists this ribosomal RNA (369 nucleotides) under uncultured Allobrachymonas sp. RNAcentral's name for it is "bacterial SSU rRNA". It matches the Rfam family "Bacterial small subunit ribosomal RNA", at positions 1011 to 1382 of the family's 1533-position model. The record is from RNAcentral. Lineage: Bacteria; Pseudomonadati; Pseudomonadota; Betaproteobacteria; Burkholderiales; Comamonadaceae.
UUCGUGCUCGAAAGAGAACCUGCACACAGGUGCUGCAUUGGCUGUCGUCAGCUCGUGUCGUGAGAUGUUGGGUUAAGUCCCGCAACGAGCGCAACCCUUGCCAUCAGUUGCUACGAAAGGGCACUCUGAUGGGACUGCCGGUGACAAACCGGAGGAAGGUGGGGGAUGACGUCAAGUCCUCAUGGCCCUUAUAGGUGGGGCUACACACGUCAUACAAUGGCCGGUACAAAGGGCAGCAAACCCGCGAGGGGGAGCCAAUCCAUCAAAGCCGGUCGUAGUCCGGAUCGCAGUCUGCAACUCGACUGCGUGAAGUCGGAAUCGCUAGUAAUCGUGGAUCAGCAUGUCACGGUGAAUACGUUCCCGGGUCUU